ACAGCAAAGAUUGCCACCUGCUCCUUCCUCUGGAAGCUCCAUCCCAGAGGGGCACCCACCUGAUGCCGGCCAGAUCGCUCCUGUAUGAGGAAAAUUGAACAGAAGCUUGAUGACUUCCCAAGAACAAUUUGGUAGAAAAGAGUGCUGAUGAAGAAGAGAGGACAACACAAAAGAAGACACAGAAGCACCAUGGGCAAACCAUGGAACAAGAACUGGAAUGAAUAUCUAUUCCACUACCUGAACUAAAGACUGCAGACGGAGAAAGGGAAGACAGGGGUUUAACUGGCAAUUCAAAGUGAGGUGAUCAGCCUUCUGUUACAGAGUUAACUGUGUGUGAAAGAAUGUAAGAUUCAUGUAUACAUCUGACAGUGACAGCUGUAUGGCCACAGCUUCACAACUGGAGCUGCUGAUAAGACACCUACUCGGAGUAAUGAUGCAUAAUAUGGAAAUGCAAUAACCCAGACCUCGGUCUUGCUCUGUUGCCCAGGCUGUAGUGCAGAUGCAAGAU
Molecule: long non-coding RNA, 508 nt
Filed under: Homo sapiens (human)
Lineage: Eukaryota; Metazoa; Chordata; Mammalia; Primates; Hominidae
Description: HSALNT0373653
Source: RNAcentral